RNAcentral lists this transfer RNA (73 nucleotides) under Kribbella alba. It matches the Rfam family "tRNA". From Rfam's summary of the family: Transfer RNA (tRNA) molecules are approximately 80 nucleotides in length. Lineage: Bacteria; Bacillati; Actinomycetota; Actinomycetes; Propionibacteriales; Kribbellaceae. The record is from RNAcentral. RNAcentral also lists the same sequence under 8 other names.
GGGGCUGUGGCGCAGUUGGUAGCGCGCCUCGUUCGCAACGAGGAGGCCAGGGGUUCGAAUCCCCUCAGCUCCA